AUGAACGCUGGCGGCGUGCCUAAUACAUGCAAGUCGAGCGAACAGAUGAGGAGCUUGCUCCUCUGACGUUAGCGGCGGACGGGUGAGUAACACGUGGAUAACCUACCUAUAAGACUGGGAUAACUUCGGGAAACCGGAGCUAAUACCGGAUAAUAUAUUGAACCGCAUGGUUCAAUAGUGAAAGACGGUUUUGCUGUCACUUAUAGAUGGAUCCGCGCCGCAUUAGCUAGUUGGUAAGGUAACGGCUUACCAAGGCAACGAUGCGUAACCGACCUGAGAGGGUGAUCGGCCACACUGGAACUGAGACACGGUCCAGACUCCUACGGGAGGCAGCAGUAGGGAAUCUUCCGCAAUGGGCGAAAGCCUGACGGAGCAACGCCGCGUGAGUGAUGAAGGUCUUCGGAUCGUAAAACUCUGUUAUUAGGGAAGAACAAAUGUGUAAGUAACUAUGCACGUCUUGACGGUACCUAAUCAGAAAGCCACGGCUAACUACGUG
This 496-nucleotide ribosomal RNA is filed under the name uncultured bacterium. RNAcentral's name for it is "partial 16S ribosomal RNA". It matches the Rfam family "Bacterial small subunit ribosomal RNA", at positions 29 to 507 of the family's 1533-position model. The record is from RNAcentral.